RNAcentral lists this ribosomal RNA (329 nucleotides) under uncultured Lachnospiraceae bacterium. RNAcentral's name for it is "partial 16S ribosomal RNA". The record is from RNAcentral. Lineage: Bacteria; Bacillati; Bacillota; Clostridia; Lachnospirales; Lachnospiraceae.
GGAGUUUGGACCGUGUCUCAGUUCCAAUGUGGCCGUUCACCCUCUCAGGCCGGCUAUUGAUCGUUGCUUUGGUAGGCCGUUACCCUGCCAACUGGCUAAUCAAACGCGGGUCCAUCCUUAAGCGAAAUUCUUUUCCUCACUGUGUCAUGCGACACUGUAAGCAUAUGGUGUAUUAGCACUGAUUUCUCAAUGUUAUUCCCCUCUUAAGGGCAGGUUACCCACGCGUUACUCACCCGUCCGCCACUAGAAUUCUUGCAUCUUCAACCGAAGUCUCCGUCACAAGGUUCCCGUUCGACUUGCAUGUGUUAGGCACGCCGCCAGCGUUCAUC